UACGUAGGUCCCGAGCGUUGUCCGGAUUUAUUGGGCGUAAAGCGAGCGCAGGUGGUUUAUUAAGUCUGGUGUAAAAGGCAGUGGCUCAACCAUUGUAUGCAUUGGAAACUGGUAGACUUGAGUGCAGGAGAGGAGAGUGGAAUUCCAUGUGUAGCGGUGAAAUGCGUAGAUAUAUGGAGGAACACCGGUGGCGAAAGCGGCUCUCUGGCCUGUAACUGACACUGAGGCUCGAGAGCGUGGGGGGCAAACAGG
This 252-nucleotide ribosomal RNA is filed under the name uncultured bacterium. RNAcentral's name for it is "partial 16S ribosomal RNA". It matches the Rfam family "Bacterial small subunit ribosomal RNA", at positions 524 to 776 of the family's 1533-position model. The record is from RNAcentral.